CCUACGGGGCGCAGCAGUGAGGAAUAUUGGUCAAUGGGCGAGAGCCUGAACCAGCCAAGUCGCGUGAGGGAGUACUGCCCUAUGCAUUGUAAACUUCUUUUGUCAAGGGACAAAAUCAGGCUCGAGAGCCUGACCGAGGGUACUUGAAGAAAAAGCAUCGGCUAACUCCGUGCCAGCAGCCGCGGUAAUACGGAGGAUGCGAGCGUUAUCCGGAUUUAUUGGGUUUAAAGGGUGCGUAGGCGGGCUGUUAAGUCAGCGGUAAAAUCCCGGGGCUCAACCCCGGCGAGCCGUUGAAACUG
This 299-nucleotide ribosomal RNA is filed under the name uncultured bacterium. RNAcentral describes it as "partial 16S ribosomal RNA". It matches the Rfam family "Bacterial small subunit ribosomal RNA", at positions 338 to 635 of the family's 1533-position model. The record is from RNAcentral.